RNAcentral lists this transfer RNA (73 nucleotides) under Myotis lucifugus (little brown bat). It matches the Rfam family "tRNA". Rfam says of the family: Transfer RNA (tRNA) molecules are approximately 80 nucleotides in length. Lineage: Eukaryota; Metazoa; Chordata; Mammalia; Chiroptera; Vespertilionidae. The record is from Rfam by way of RNAcentral.
GCCAAUUUGGCUCAGUGGAUAGAGCAUCAGCCUGCAGACUGAAGAGUCCUGGGUUCAAUUCCAGUGAAGGGCA